UCUAAAUUUUUUUUUCUUUUCACUGCUUUUUCUUGCUUCAAGGAUCAAUUUAAUGAUUUUUCAGACUAUCAAUAACAUUUUUCCUUUUUCAUUAUUCUUUCAAGAGCUAACAAUUUUUAACAUUCAUAAACAACAACUUCAAAAAUAUGUACUGUUCAAGCAUUCAUUCAGAAAACAAAAAGUAUUGUCAC
This is a non-coding RNA of Arachis ipaensis, 191 nucleotides long. The record is from RefSeq and is a predicted model, not a curated record. Lineage: Eukaryota; Viridiplantae; Streptophyta; Magnoliopsida; Fabales; Fabaceae.